UGGUAAUGCCGGAUGUUCCACAUGAUCGCAUGUGAUUGUGGGAAAGAUUCUAUCGGCGUGGGAUGGGGUCGCGUCCUAUCAGCUUGUUGGUGAGGUAACGGCUCACCAAGGCUUCGACGGGUAGCCGGCCUGAGAGGGCGACCGGCCACAUUGGGACUGAGAUACGGCCCAGACUCCUACGGGAGGCAGCAGUGGGGAAUAUUGCACAAUGGGCGCAAGCCUGAUGCAGCGACGCCGCGUGAGGGAUGGAGGCCUUCGGGUUGUAAACCUCUUUUGUUUGGGAGCAAGCCUUCGGGUGAGUGUACCUUUCGAAUAAGCGCCGGCUAACUACGUGCCAGCAGCCGCGGUAAUACGUAGGGCGCAAGCGUUAUCCGGAUUUAUUGGGCGUAAAGGGCUCGUAGGCGGCUCGUCGCGUCCGGUGUGAAAGUCCAUCGCUUAACGGUGGAUCUGCGCCGGGUACGGGCGGGCUGGAGUGCGGUAGGGGAGACUGGAAUUCCCGGUGUAACGGUGGAAUGUGUAGAUAUCGGAAAAAAAACACC
This 539-nucleotide ribosomal RNA is filed under the name Bifidobacterium bifidum. Its description in RNAcentral is "bacterial SSU rRNA". It matches the Rfam family "Bacterial small subunit ribosomal RNA", at positions 161 to 710 of the family's 1533-position model. The record is from RNAcentral. Lineage: Bacteria; Bacillati; Actinomycetota; Actinomycetes; Bifidobacteriales; Bifidobacteriaceae.